UGCUCGAGCAGGACUAUCAUGAAUGGGA
Molecule: non-coding RNA, 28 nt
Filed under: Rattus norvegicus (Norway rat)
Lineage: Eukaryota; Metazoa; Chordata; Mammalia; Rodentia; Muridae
Source: RNAcentral